This 245-nucleotide ribosomal RNA is filed under the name uncultured Lachnospiraceae bacterium. Its description in RNAcentral is "partial 16S ribosomal RNA". It matches the Rfam family "Bacterial small subunit ribosomal RNA", at positions 524 to 768 of the family's 1533-position model. The record is from RNAcentral. Lineage: Bacteria; Bacillati; Bacillota; Clostridia; Lachnospirales; Lachnospiraceae.
UACGUAGGGGGCAAGCGUUAUCCGGAUUUACUGGGUGUAAAGGGAGCGUAGGUGGUUCGGUAAGUCAGAUGUGAAAGCCCGGGGCUCAACCCCGGGACUGCAUUUGAAACUAUCGAACUAGAGUGUAGGAGAGGUAAGUGGAAUUCCUAGUGUAGCGGUGAAAUGCGUAGAUAUUAGGAGGAACACCAGUGGCGAAGGCGGCUUACUGGACUAUAACUGACACUGAGGCUCGAAAGCGUGGGGAG